Molecule: ribosomal RNA, 274 nt
Filed under: uncultured bacterium
Lineage: Bacteria
Description: partial 16S ribosomal RNA
Rfam family: Bacterial small subunit ribosomal RNA
Source: RNAcentral
AUACGGAAGGUGCGAGCGUUAAUCGGAAUUACUGGGCGUAAAGGGCUCGUAGGCGGCCAAGUCAGUCGGAUGUGAAAGCCCCGGGCUUAACCUGGGAAUGCCAUUCGAUACUGCUUGGCUAGAGUAUGGUAGAGGAAAGUGGAAUUCCGCAUGUAGCGGUGAAUUGCGUAGAUAUGCGGAAGAACACCAACGGCGAAGGCAACUUUCUGGAUCAAUACUGACGCUGAGGAGCGAAAGCGUGGGGAGCAAACAGGAUUAGAUACCCUAGUAGUCC